Molecule: long non-coding RNA, 374 nt
Organism: Scylla paramamosain (green mud crab)
Lineage: Eukaryota; Metazoa; Arthropoda; Malacostraca; Decapoda; Portunidae
Exons: 3
Source: RefSeq, a predicted model, not a curated record
CCAGGCACCUCUAAAUGAAGGUCCAAGUGUUCCUGUACAUAGUGUGUGUAUUUGUACUACUUGUAAGGGAAGUACUGGGCUACAACAUUGAGGCAUCAACAGACGAGAGACUGAGGAGGCGCCGGGAAAUACGAGGAGCGCCUCCGGUUGAGUUCAGAGAGUCCCUAGAGAGCCGAGAGAGAGCCCUUGUCUUCCCCUUUUAUUGCUAAGGGGCUAGGCUGUACCGCCAGGAGCCUCCGCGUCCCUCCUUUUGGAUCCUUCAGGCCUCACCUGCAAGUGCCCCUCACCUGCACUCGUGGGGAGGUAGUUCCAGCGGCCACAUCAGAAGCGAGGGACGGAAGCGGAACCGCCAGCCAUGGAAGCACGAAAGAGCG